RNAcentral lists this ribosomal RNA (542 nucleotides) under Trichoderma harzianum. RNAcentral describes it as "eukaryotic LSU rRNA". The stretch from base 166 to 319 matches the Rfam family "5.8S ribosomal RNA". The record is from RNAcentral. Lineage: Eukaryota; Fungi; Ascomycota; Sordariomycetes; Hypocreales; Hypocreaceae.
CCAAACUGUUGCCUCGGCGGGAUCUCUGCCCCGGGUGCGUCGCAGCCCCGGACCAAGGCGCCCGCCGGAGGACCAACCAAAACUCUUAUUGUAUACCCCCUCGCGGGUUUUUUUAUAAUCUGAGCCUUCUCGGCGCCUCUCGUAGGCGUUUCGAAAAUGAAUCAAAACUUUCAACAACGGAUCUCUUGGUUCUGGCAUCGAUGAAGAACGCAGCGAAAUGCGAUAAGUAAUGUGAAUUGCAGAAUUCAGUGAAUCAUCGAAUCUUUGAACGCACAUUGCGCCCGCCAGUAUUCUGGCGGGCAUGCCUGUCCGAGCGUCAUUUCAACCCUCGAACCCCUCCGGGGGGUCGGCGUUGGGGAUCGGCCCUGCCUUGGCGGUGGCCGUCUCCGAAAUACAGUGGCGGUCUCGCCGCAGCCUCUCCUGCGCAGUAGUUUGCACACUCGCAUCGGGAGCGCGGCGCGUCCACAGCCGUUAAACACCCAACUUCUGAAAUGUUGACCUCGGAUCAGGUAGGAAUACCCGCUGAACUUAAGCAUAUCAUA